RNAcentral lists this long non-coding RNA (544 nucleotides) under Prunus dulcis (almond). RNAcentral describes it as "sRNA ncRNA". Lineage: Eukaryota; Viridiplantae; Streptophyta; Magnoliopsida; Rosales; Rosaceae. The record is from RNAcentral.
AGACAGUCUCAUUUCAAUUUCACUAUAAAUAUUGGACGACAUUUAUCCUGAUCAUAUCCGCUCAAGUCUAAAUAAACCACACAAUCAGCCUUCACCACUUUUCCACUAUUCUUACAAACAAAUGGCUAUCUUUUCGCCCAUUCUCAAUUGCUUCAUGCCAUUGUCAAACUCACAGGUCUCAGAUGAUGCAGGAGGCAGUGCAAAAGCUCCUUCUUUAAAGGAAUCCAAGAAAAGCAAAUCAAAAUCAUCGUCGUCGUCGGGAGCUCCCAUCAUAGUUUCUUACUUCCCCCAUAAUUCCUAUCGUUCUCUCUUGUGAUUGUGAUUGUUUUUCUGCGUGCAAGAAAAGCAAGUUUUGAAUUUGAGUAUGCCUACUUCAAUACUGUAAAUAGAUGAGGAGUUGGCCUGGAUACACACAGAAGCCAAUUGGGUGUAGUACGAUAUGAUUGAUUGUUAAUUUCUUCUUUAAAUUCAGGGUUUUGGUGUUGAUAAUUUGAUUGCGAUUUAAGUAAUAAAACUGCCCAGAAGCAGCUAUAUUUGCCUUUCA